CACGUAGGGGGCAAGCGUUGUCCGGAAUUACUGGGCGUAAAGGGCGCGUAGGCGGCCUAUUAAGUUAGAGGUGAAAGGCCAGGGCUCAACCCUGGAGUUG
Molecule: ribosomal RNA, 100 nt
Filed under: uncultured bacterium
Lineage: Bacteria
Description: partial 16S ribosomal RNA
Rfam family: Bacterial small subunit ribosomal RNA
Source: RNAcentral